UGAACCUACCCUGCAAAUCAGCCCCAUCGUUUCCCUGUUUACAUCUUCUUCUUCUUUCACAUCGCAAACCACCAUCUCCGGUGAACCACAACCACCGCCGCCACUGCUUCAGUCAGAAAACACUUUCUACUUUUGUAAAGGCACCUGUAUUAGAUGUUGUUGCAGGGGAUAUAAUAUUUGGCCAUCCAGAGAUUCUCAAUCUCAAAAGUGAAAGGCAACAACAUUUCUCAUAGAUGUAUUAUCUUUCGGUAGUUGUUAAUGGUGAGAUGCUGAAGGGAUGUAAGGCGUUGGAGUCCCACCGAAAGUGAUUCCAGUUUAUCAAAUUUCAAGUCGAAGCUCUGUAAGAGUGGAAGGAAGAAGAAGGGACAAUUGACUAAAAUACUGAGAUGUUCGCAACAUUAAGUCAGGUGAACAAGGGAAGUUGGAAAAUUUUAAGGGCUCCACUCUGACAAAGGCUUAUUCAACCCCCCUAUUGAUUCGAAACACAAAUUGGGAGGCCAGUGCCCCCAAGGAAAGAAAUCAUCUGUUCUUGGGACAAUUUUUUAUUUUUCAAAUAAUUUAACAAGGUGAGCUUUGUCUGAAUGGCUGGAAAAGAAAUCAUCAUACAGAGUUAUACACAAUUUGCUGAGGCAUGAGCACCAACUUAGUGAGACGAAUGCUACUAGUGAGAAACUUGUGAAUAAACAUAUAAUGAGCUAAAAAGUUCAAGAUGGUGCUGCAGAAUAUAAAGCGUGCGUCAUGGUCCUUUUUACGUUGAGCUCGAAAACGCAGCAGUAUGGUCCUUUUCAAAUUAUUGUUUUGUGCUGCUCAUUGUCUUGUAAUUGUUCUUGUAACUCUUUGUAAUAUGAUAUGGUUAUAUAAUAAUAAGAUUUUAUGAUUUUGU
RNAcentral lists this long non-coding RNA (883 nucleotides) under Helianthus annuus (common sunflower). RNAcentral describes it as "hypothetical non coding rna". The record is from RNAcentral. Lineage: Eukaryota; Viridiplantae; Streptophyta; Magnoliopsida; Asterales; Asteraceae.